UUCUAGAAAACCCCCAAAGCCUUCAGCUUCAAUUUGGUCUUUAAGAAGUGCAAAACCGUUGGUGUAUUUUUAAAAGCAGAGCAUUAGAAAGGAUUUUUUUCCCCCUGGCUUAACUGACCCCAGAGUUCAAUCUUAGUCAAGCUGAUAGUUGAGAAAGUAAACUGAUUACCAUGUUAUGUCCAGAGCCUGUCCUGCCCCAGCAUCACUGACCCAACAUUGUCACACUGCACCUUCUUUUCCACACUUCUCAAAAUUCAUUUCAGUGAAUCAGAGAUGCUCCUGGAUCAUUCACUACCUUGGCAAAGCAACCACCAGGAAAAGGCAGCUGUGCAGUGGUUUUAGAGCAUCCACUGUCUCUGCUAAAUAAGCAUUUUCAUGACAAAAGUCAAGAAAUAAAUAACAAUUUCAAGAAGUUCCUGAAACCUCUAUUUAAAGUGCUUUAAGUUGUAAGUUCAAGGAAGGCAAUGCCUUUGUGACAGCACAGCUGUCAAUUAAAAAGAUUCCCAGGGCCUCCUGGUUAGUCUGACUCUUGGUCUUUAGAAUUAUAUGAAUAUAGGCUUAAGACCACCCAAAUCCCUUUUUUUUUUUUUUUCUUUUUGAGAGGGGGAAAGAAAGAGAACAUGCACACAAGCGGGUGAAAGAGACCAUUACCAUUACCCUGGUGUUGGCCAAGUGUAGUACCAAAGAUGUGACAGGCAGCACUGACCUGUGGCAGCAGCUGUAUUUACACUAGAGCCUAGCAGGAAAAACACACUGGAGGGGAUGGUACACACACUGCAGGAUGCACUGGCCUUUGGGGAGCUGCUUUAACCCACAUGUGCAGAAUCCAGCUGCAGGAAUUUAAUUCCCUGCCAAAGCACCACUGUGGGUAGCUGACUUUUGUCUCUUGCUUAGUGAGUACGUGGCUGAUUUUGCACCUAAAUCUCACCUCUCUACCGGGAAGCAAUCCCACAACAGUGGGAGGGACAUGUUCUGCUGGAGAGCCAGAGACAAUCCUAGUUAUCUCUUGUUUCAUUAGAAUCACCAGCAUGACUGAUGUGCCGAAGGAAAGAGGAUGAGCAGCUUCUAGUCUGCAGGACAGGCUUAGAGAAUGGGGCAAAAUAAGAGCUUAAAAUCUCCAAUUCAUUAAAAAAAUAAAAAAAAAUUUAAAAAUAAAAUGAACAAAAUUUAAAGUAUCUGUUCUCAGCAGACAGGAGGGAGUAGAAACAUUUCAACCAGCACAGUGUAACACCUUAUUGAAGCUGAUCUCCCUAGGCUCCCUGGCAGUCCAUGGAGAGAGGAGGGGAGGCUCCUCCAAGAUGAGGCAGAGCUGGAGCCUCGGGUUGCCCCUCAGAGGGACAGGGACCCAGGAGAAGACCCUGGAAGGCAGAGGCUGUGCCCCUUGUAGAUCUGGGCUCAAAGCAAUCCAUUUGUCCUGGGUCUCUUCAAACUGAAAUUCAUUGCACAGUCUUUGGACAACAUUUCUUUGUUUUCUAAUUGAUUCAGGCUUUUUUAGGCUGAUCUCUCAAGACAGAGUUUAAGCAAAAAGAAACAGAAUCAAAUACUUGCUUUUUCAGCAGGGAAAAACAAACAAAAAAAAAUCAUAAACAUUGCUCUGUCCUGGGCUGUAGUUUUCCCAUGCUGCUCCCAUCUUUAUUGUUCUUCCUUCACACCAUGAGUUCCUGGAUAGCAAAGAAAACAGUCUAUGUCUUCAAGAACCAAGGUUGGUAGAAAAAUCAAAUUAAAAAUGGCAAUCACAUUUGCAGCAGUAUAGGCAGCUAAAACGAUCACCUUUGUUAUUUACACCACUUCAGGUAUCAAGUAGUUCAGAGCCCUGUUUUGGCAGCUCCCUGUGCAUGGAAAGGAAACAGCCAUCACCAACACAUGGGAAGCAUAACUGGCCAGUAUCUUCAGGUGCUGAAGCUUUAAGCAUGUUCACAUGUCCCAUUAAUUCCUUUAUUACCAGCUGUUUUUAAUCCCCUGCCAAAAGCAGGUGCUUUUAUACUUCCCCAAAUAACAGAUGGAAUAUGGGGUUUGUGAAUCAGUGUGCAAGAGUCACAAUAUGAGGGGCAGAUGGGACCAGGUUGGUAGGGAAGGGAGCAAGGAAGAAGGGACAAAGUUCAAAU
This 2105-nucleotide long non-coding RNA is filed under the name Taeniopygia guttata (zebra finch). RNAcentral describes it as "lncRNA (ENSTGUG00000027266.1)". Lineage: Eukaryota; Metazoa; Chordata; Aves; Passeriformes; Estrildidae. The record is from RNAcentral.